AUUGAACGCUGGCGGCAUGCUUUACACAUGCAAGCCGAACGGUAACAGGCCGCAAGGUGCUGACGAGUGGCGAACGGGUGAGUAAUGCAUCGGAACGUGCCCAGUCGUGGGGGAUAACUACUCGAAAGAGUAGCUAAUACCGCAUACGAUCUAUGGAUGAAAGCGGGGGACCGUAAGGCCUCGCGCGAUUGGAGCGGCCGAUGUCAGAUUAGGUAGUUGGUGGGGUAAAGGCUCACCAAGCCAACGAUCUGUAGCUGGUCUGAGAGGACGACCAGCCACACUGGGACUGAGACACGGCCCAGACUCCUACGGGAGGCAGCAGUGGGGAAUUUUGGACAAUGGGCGCAAGCCUGAUCCAGCAAUGCCGCGUGCAGGAAGAAGACCUUCGGGUUGUAAACUGCUUUUGUACGGAACGAAACGGCUCUGGUUAAUACCCGGGGCUAAUGACGGUACCGUAAGAAUAAGCACCGGCUAACUACGUG
RNAcentral lists this ribosomal RNA (482 nucleotides) under uncultured bacterium. RNAcentral's name for it is "partial 16S ribosomal RNA". It matches the Rfam family "Bacterial small subunit ribosomal RNA", at positions 30 to 507 of the family's 1533-position model. The record is from RNAcentral.